This 460-nucleotide ribosomal RNA is filed under the name uncultured bacterium. RNAcentral describes it as "partial 16S ribosomal RNA". It matches the Rfam family "Bacterial small subunit ribosomal RNA", at positions 338 to 795 of the family's 1533-position model. The record is from RNAcentral.
CCUACGGGUGGCAGCAGUGAGGAAUAUUGGUCAAUGGGCGCGAGCCUGAACCAGCCAAGUAGCGUGAAGGAUGACUGCCCUACGGGUUGUAAACUUCUUUUAUAAAGGAAUAAAGUGAGGCACGUGUGCCUUUUUGUAUGUACGUUAUGAAUAAGGAUAGGCUAACUCCGUGCCAGCAGCCGCGGUAAGACGGAGGAUCCGAGCGUUAUCCGGAUUGAUUGGGUUUAAAGGGAGCGUAGAUGGGUUGUUAAGUCAGUUGUGAAAGUUUGCGGCUCAACCGUAAAAUUGCAAUUGAUACUGGCAGUCUUGCGUACAGUUGCGGUCGGCGGAAUUCGUUGUGUAGCGGUGACAUGCUUAGAUAUCACGCAGAACUCCGAUUGCGACGGCAGCUUUCUAAACUGCCCCUGACAUUGAUGCUCGAAAGUGUGGGUAUCAAACAGGAUUCGAUACCCGGGUAGUC